RNAcentral lists this ribosomal RNA (497 nucleotides) under uncultured bacterium. Its description in RNAcentral is "partial 16S ribosomal RNA". It matches the Rfam family "Bacterial small subunit ribosomal RNA", at positions 28 to 507 of the family's 1533-position model. The record is from RNAcentral.
GAUGAACGCUGGCGGCGUGCCUAAUACAUGCAAGUCGAGCGAACGGACGAGAAGCUUGCUUCUCUGAUGUUAGCGGCGGACGGGUGAGUAACACGUGGAUAACCUACCUAUAAGACUGGGAUAACUGCGGGAAACCGGAGCUAAGACCGGAUAAUAUUUUGAACCGCAUGGUUCAAAAGUGAAAGACGGUCUUGAUGUCACUUAUGGAUGGAUCCGCGCUGCAUUAGCUAGGUGGUAAGAUAACGGCUUAGGAAGGCAACGAUGCAUAGCCGACCUGAGAGGGUGAUCGGCCACACUGAAACUGAGACACGGUCCAGACUCCUACGGGAGGCAGCAGUAGGGAAGCUUCCGCGAUGGGCGAAAGCCUGACGGAGCAACGCCGCGUGAGUGCUGAAGGUCUUCGGAUCGUAAAACUCUGUUAUUAGGGAAGAACAUAUGUGUAAGUAACUGUGCACAUCUUGACGGUACCUAGUCAGAAAGCCACGGCUAACUACGUG